Molecule: ribosomal RNA, 433 nt
Filed under: uncultured bacterium
Lineage: Bacteria
Description: partial 16S ribosomal RNA
Rfam family: Bacterial small subunit ribosomal RNA
Source: RNAcentral
AACGAACGCUGGCGGCAUGCCUAACACAUGCAAGUCGAACGAGACCUUCGGGUCUAGUGGCGCACGGGUGCGUAACGCGUGGGAACCUGCCCUUAGGUUCGGAAUAACUCCCCGAAAGGGGUGCUAAUACCGGAUAAUGUCUUCGGACCAAAGAUUUAUCGCCUUUGGAUGGGCCCGCGUUGGAUUAGCUAGUUGGUAGGGUAAAAGCCUACCAAGGCGACGAUCCAUAGCUGGUCUGAGAGGAUGAUCAGCCACACUGGGACUGAGACACGGCCCAGACUCCUACGGGAGGCAGGAGUGGGGAAUAUUGGACAAUGGGCGAAAGCCUGAUCCAGCAAUGCCGGGUGAGUGAUGAAGGCCUUAGGGUUGUAAAGCUCUUUUACCCGGGAUGAUAAUGACGGUACCGGGAGAAUAAGCUCCGGCUAACUCCGUG